AUGAACUUCAAUAACUAAGGUCUUACUUUCACUAACUUAGGUCCUAACUUGACUAGCAUAGGU
This 63-nucleotide small RNA is filed under the name Plasmodium falciparum 3D7. RNAcentral's name for it is "Pfa-starR6384". The record is from RNAcentral. Lineage: Eukaryota; Apicomplexa; Aconoidasida; Haemosporida; Plasmodiidae.